This 74-nucleotide transfer RNA is filed under the name Tieghemiomyces parasiticus. It matches the Rfam family "tRNA". From Rfam's summary of the family: Transfer RNA (tRNA) molecules are approximately 80 nucleotides in length. Their secondary structure includes four short double-helical elements and three loops (D, anti-codon, and T loops). The record is from Rfam by way of RNAcentral. Lineage: Eukaryota; Fungi; Kickxellomycota; Dimargaritomycetes; Dimargaritales; Dimargaritaceae.
GGUCUAAUGGCCAAAUUGGAUAAGGCACCUGACUACGGAUCAGGAGAUUGCAGGUUCGAGUCCUGCUUGGAUCG